This 427-nucleotide ribosomal RNA is filed under the name uncultured bacterium. Its description in RNAcentral is "bacterial SSU rRNA". It matches the Rfam family "Bacterial small subunit ribosomal RNA", at positions 355 to 774 of the family's 1533-position model. The record is from RNAcentral.
UGGGGAAUUUUGGACAAUGGGCGAAAGCCUGAUCCAGCAAUGCCGCGUGUGCGAAGAAGGCCUUCGGGUUGUAAAGCACUUUUGUCCGGAAAGAAAUCCGCCUGGCUAAUACCCGGGCGGGAUGACGGUACCGGAAGAAUAAGCACCGGCUAACUACGUGCCAGCAGCCGCGGUAAUACGUAGGGUGCGAGCGUUAAUCGGAAUUACUGGGCGUAAAGCGUGCGCAGGCGGCUUUGUAAGACAGAUGUGAAAUCCCCGGGCUCAACCUGGGAACUGCAUUUGUGACUGCAAGGCUAGAGUGCGUCAGAGGGAGGUGGAAUUCCGCGUGUAGCAGUGAAAUGCGUAGAGAUGCGGAGGAACACCAAUGGCGAAGGCAGCCUCCUGGGAUGACACUGACGCUCAUGCACGAAAGCGUGGGGAGCAAACA